AAGUAUGUAGCACUGGCAACAACUUCCUCUGUCUGUUGUGUUUCUGCUCGUCAAGACUUACAACUGUUAUAGCAAAUGCAGGUUUUUCUCAAGGUCAGUUAUGCCAUCAUCUUCUCUCUGGUGGUCACCAUUCUCUUCCCCCCUCCAUUAUCUUUCAUACUGAGAUGGAAGAGAAGAUGACUGCUAAUGUACAAGAAGGCGAAGAGCGAAAGUCUUCUUUUUCAAUUGUUGCAGAAGUUCUGACCAAGCAUCGCGCAUCAAGCAAAACAGAUUUUGGUAGUAGUUUUUGUGCACUUGAUAGCAGAUUUUGUGAUAGCACCUGGUUUGGUAGCAGAUUUUGUGAUAGCACUUGGUUUGGUAGUAGAUUUUGUGCACUUGGUUGUGUAAUUUUGUACCAGAUUGUGCUACAGGUUUGGUAGCAGAUUUUGGUUGUGCUACAGGUUUUGGCUAUAUUAUGAGAUCUUGAAAUGUGCUUCAAAUUUUGUGGUGUGGGCUGUCAUUUAGAGAUGCUUCACAUUUAUAUAUAUGGGCUAUUAUUUAUAGAUCCAUUAACAGCAUAAAAGAAAAAAAA
Molecule: long non-coding RNA, 571 nt
Filed under: Hordeum vulgare
Lineage: Eukaryota; Viridiplantae; Streptophyta; Magnoliopsida; Poales; Poaceae
Description: long non-coding RNA (HVUL_LNC007003)
Source: RNAcentral